Long non-coding RNA from Heterocephalus glaber (naked mole-rat), 1203 nucleotides. RefSeq lists it as uncharacterized. The record is from RefSeq and is a predicted model, not a curated record. NCBI's taxonomy places the organism in Eukaryota, Metazoa, Chordata, Mammalia, Rodentia, Bathyergidae.
CAGGGCCCCACCCUCCCCACAGCUCACAGCUACCUGUCAGCCAGGAGCCCUCAGGGUCCCCUGAGCCCAGGAAGGCCUGUGUUCCCAAGGGAGGCUGCUCUGAUAGUGAAAGCCUGAGCAGAUUUCCAGGACAGCACACAAAGGUAGAAGAAGGAGCUACCUGUGGCUCAGCAUGCAGGGUCAGACUAAGCUGCUCCAGAUACAACUCUAGGCAGAGGGACCAGGAGUCAGAGGGAAAGCCCGGCUGAAAGGAGCCUUUGAAGGAGGGGCCAGAGAUGAGGAGGCUGACUCAGCGGUAUCACAGUACCCAGACACCAAGAGUGGAGACAGAACUCAGUGACAUCCACUCCCCCUGCUACAGAGCAUCCCCAAGGCUUCCAUCCCUGGGGGUACCUGCUCCCACCAGGCUGUCUGGGUACCUGACUCUAAGGAUGAGAGAGGAUUGUUGAGUAGAGGCAGCCUCCCUCAGGAAGCAGAGGCAUCUUCUGACCACAAUGGGCCAAACUGUGGAAGAGUCCCAGAGUGUUCCUGGCAAGAGACUCAGUAGCAGGAAAAGCUGGCCACUAGCUGCUCCUCUCCCCAGAAGCAGCUUCUGAAACAGAGAGCAGGCCCCAGAGAUUUGUUAAGAUAUGCUCUUGGGACCAAGUGCUGUGGAGGGUAGGGGCAGUGGAGGAGGCAGAGUGUCCAAGGGGAAGGAUGGGUUUUCAGCAUCAUACCUGCCAGGGCCAAGAUGCCAGGCCCUUUAUGACCCUAUGUGGAUCAGCCCUGGGAUGCAGGGCUCCUAGGAACAGAAGGCACCACCUCUCUGCUUUUGAGGGAAAUUAAACGAUCAUUACAGAAUCUGGUCCUGAUAGAGAUCUGGUGUUGUCACAGAUUGAUUUCCUACAGUUCAAAGGCCUUCAUUCAAAAUUACAGUUGACUUCAGAUUUAAUGCUCAUUUUGGAGAAAACAAGCUAAAGGGUAAAAGAAAUUCCAUUUAAUUUAAAUAAGGAAGAAACACAAAUUCUUAUUGAAAUUAACCCUAUUGACAGCUUUAGAAAUUUUCAUAAAUGCACAUAGCAGAGGCCAUAUUUAUUUCCAGAGGUCCAUUUGCCCAUUUUUCUAGAGCAAGCUAUCCCAGGUUUUUAUCAGGACCUUGGUUAUUCAUGCAAAAGCCUACAUUUCCCAGCAUCCCUUUGGAGGCUAGGUGAGGUCAUGUGGCAG